Molecule: ribosomal RNA, 119 nt
Organism: Cercocebus atys (sooty mangabey)
Lineage: Eukaryota; Metazoa; Chordata; Mammalia; Primates; Cercopithecidae
Source: Ensembl
GUCUACAGCCAUACCACCCUGAACACGCCCGAUCUCGUCUGAUCUCAGAAACUAAGCAUGAUCGGGCCUGGUUAGUACUUGGAUGGGAGACCACCUGUGAAUACCGGGUGCUGUAGGCU